GUGAGGAAUUUUCCGCAAUGGGCGAAAGCCUGACGGAGCAAUGCCGCGUGAAGGAUGAAGGCCUAUGGGUUGUAAACUUCUUUUCUCAGAAAAGAAUUAUGACGGUAUCUGAGGAAUAAGCAUCGGCUAACUCUGUGCCAGCAGCCGCGGUAAGACAGAGGAUGCAAGCGUUAUCCGGAAUGAUUGGGCGUAAAGCGUCUGUAGGUUGUUUAAAAAGUAUUCUGUCAAAGAUUAGGGCUUAACCCUAGAUAGGAAGAAUAAACUUUUAAGCUAGAGUUUGGUAGAGGCAGAGGGAAUUCCCGGUGGAGCGGUGAAAUGCGUAGAUAUCGGGAGGAACACCAAAGGCGAAGGCACUCUGCUGGGCCAAUACUAACACUGAGAGACGAAAGCGAGGGGAGCAAAUGGGAUUAGAAACCCGUAGUCC
This 424-nucleotide ribosomal RNA is filed under the name uncultured bacterium. RNAcentral's name for it is "partial 16S ribosomal RNA". It matches the Rfam family "Bacterial small subunit ribosomal RNA", at positions 354 to 796 of the family's 1533-position model. The record is from RNAcentral.